UACGGAGGGUGCGAGCGUUAAUCGGAAUUACUGGGCGUAAAGCGCGCGUAGGCGGCCCGGCCAGUCCGACGUGAAAGCCCCGGGCUCAACCUGGGAACUGCGUUGGAUACUGCCGGGCUGGAGUGUGGGAGAGGGGCGUGGAAUUUCCGGUGUAGCAGUGAAAUGCGUAGAGAUCGGAAGGAACACCAGUGGCGAAGGCGGCGCCCUGGACCAACACUGACGCUGAGGUGCGAAAGCGUGGGGAG
RNAcentral lists this ribosomal RNA (245 nucleotides) under uncultured bacterium. Its description in RNAcentral is "partial 16S ribosomal RNA". It matches the Rfam family "Bacterial small subunit ribosomal RNA", at positions 524 to 768 of the family's 1533-position model. The record is from RNAcentral.